UUUUUCCUGUUGAUUGGGACUAAACAUCAGAGUUCUGGAGGUUUAGAACAAAAGGUCUAUUCCAAUCUUCUAGAGAACUGGCUAAACCAUCUUCAAUGAGUCUCUGGGUCGUGACACCAUGGGGGCGGCCAUUCUGGUUGACUCCAAAGAAAGUAAAAGGUCCAAGGUCAUCAUGAUAAUACCUUGCCUCGAAAGACAUGGCAGAAGGCAGAAAUGGCCUUGGAUCGGCCUCUACUAUCUCCAUGUGACCUUCUUCAUUCCAAAGGGCCAACUGUUGGUGAAGAGUGGAAGGGACACAUAAGCUUUGGUGAAUCCAGU
This 318-nucleotide long non-coding RNA is filed under the name Prunus persica (peach). RNAcentral describes it as "long non-coding RNA (PPER_LNC007894)". Lineage: Eukaryota; Viridiplantae; Streptophyta; Magnoliopsida; Rosales; Rosaceae. The record is from RNAcentral.